Molecule: long non-coding RNA, 1069 nt
Organism: Poecilia reticulata (guppy)
Lineage: Eukaryota; Metazoa; Chordata; Actinopteri; Cyprinodontiformes; Poeciliidae
Source: RefSeq, a predicted model, not a curated record
ACCAGGCCAGGCAGCCCACCAGGUUGGCCAGCAGCGUCCCUGCGUGAACUGAAACAGGAGAGGAGGAUGAAGGAGCGUUUACUGAAACUGCCUUCUUUUAGUGUUGCAGUUUGGCCUACAUCCAGGAGAGGGCACCGCUGGUCAUUCUUAAGUGGAGCCAGUGGAUACAGGAAUAAAGAUGGCGGAGUCGUAGCAUAAUGGGUUUGGAUGUAGACUAGAACAACCUUUAAGGAAUCAUCUGACCCACUCCUUUCAUCGGACCACAUGAUCACACAACACGUGUUUGUCAUGUGGCGACUGAAUUCCACACCAAGUCCUUCAUCUUCCAGUUUACACUCAGACACCAGCUGCAAGAUUCAGGGGUGAGGAGAGUCGCUUGGACUAAACAACCGAGACCCUGUUUAACUUAAAUAACCCUCCAGUGAAGGCAAUAACAACAAUAUGGUGCCUUGCAAAAAGUAUUCAUACCCCUGGACUUCUUUUGUUCUCGUUUCUUUCAUCUUACAAGCACAGUCUUGCAUGUAUUUUAUUGGAGCAGUUUGUAUGGGGGACUAUUAGUGACAGGCUUAGAAGAAAAAAACUGCUAGAGGAUUGUUUCUGAAAAUCAAUUUUUAAAUCUUGUCACCAAUUUGACUUAGGUCUAUUUCAGUUAUCAAUUAAUCUAUCGAUUAUUCAGACGAUUAAUUAAAUAAUUAAAAACUUGGCAGAUUCUGCAUAUUCUUAAAGUUUUUUUAAUACAACAUUAUUAAUACAUGUGAAUCUGAACAGGAGGAAGCAAAAACUAAGUCACUGGAGAAGUUUUGGGUAGCAUAUGUUUACAGGCAAAGGUUUUUUCAUCAUCAUAAAUAUUUUUGUACAGUUUAUGCUUAAACUGCUCUGAGUGUUUUGUCCUUCCAGCAAUUUGCCCUUUUUUAGAGUCUCCAAUACUCCAGUUAACAAUUAAUCGAUUACUAAAUAAGCUGACGAUUAUUUCAAUAACCAAUUCAUCACGACUAAUCUGAUUGAUCAUUUCAGCCCUAGAUGUGUAAAAGGAGGUGUUAAAGAUUUGUGAAUCCUAAAAGGGGAGAAG